Molecule: transfer RNA, 59 nt
Filed under: Cerastoderma edule
Lineage: Eukaryota; Metazoa; Mollusca; Bivalvia; Cardiida; Cardiidae
Description: tRNA-Gly
Source: RNAcentral
GUUUUUUGUGGUGUAAAUACAGCAUUUCUGCCUUCCAAGCAGAGGGUCUUUUAGAAGCG